Molecule: ribosomal RNA, 521 nt
Filed under: uncultured bacterium
Lineage: Bacteria
Description: bacterial SSU rRNA
Rfam family: Archaeal small subunit ribosomal RNA
Source: RNAcentral
AACCUCCGCAAUGUGAGAAAUCGCGACGGGGGGAUCCCAAGUGCCAUUCUUAACGGGAUGGCUUUUCAUUAGUGUAAAGAGCUUUUGGAAUAAGGGCUGGGCAAGACCGGUGCCAGCCGCCGCGGUAACACCGGCAGCUCUAGUGGUAGCAGUUUUUAUUGGGCCUAAAGCGUCCGUAGCCGGUUUAAUAAGUCUCUGGUGAAAUCCUGUAGCUUAACUGUGGGAAUUGCUGGAGAUACUAUUAGACUUGAGACCGGGAGAGGUUAGAGGUACUCCCAGGGUAGAGGUGAAAUUCUGUAAUCCUGGGAGGACCGCCUGUUGCGAAGGCGUCUAACUGGAACGGUUCUGACGGUGAGGGACGAAAGUUAGGGGCGCGAACCGGAUUAGAUACCCGGGUAGUCCUAACUGUAAACGAUGCGGACUUGGUGUUGGGGUGGCUUUGAGCUGCUCCAGUGCCGAAGGGAAGCUGUUAAGUCCGCCGCCUGGGAAGUACGGUCGCAAGACUGAAACUUAAAAGGAUG